Molecule: ribosomal RNA, 413 nt
Filed under: uncultured bacterium
Lineage: Bacteria
Description: bacterial SSU rRNA
Rfam family: Bacterial small subunit ribosomal RNA
Source: RNAcentral
AACGAACGCUUGCGGCGCGCCUAAUACAUGCAAGUCGAACGAGAAAGGUCCUUCGGGAACGAGUAAAGUGGCGGACGGGUGAGGAACGCGUGGAUAACCUUCCCUUCAGCGGGGGAUAACUAUUCGAAAGAGUAGCUAAUACCGCAUAAGACUACGAUAUCUGCGGAUGAUGUAGUUAAAGGCUUCGGCCACUGAAGGAUGGGUCCGCGUCCGAUUAGCUUGUUGGUGGGGUAACGGCCUACCAAGGCAACGAUCGGUAGCUGGUCUCAGAGGAUGAUCAGCCACACUGGAACUGAGACACGGUCCAGACUCCUACGGGAGGCAGCAGUAGGGAAUAUUGCACAAUGGAGGAAACUCUGAUGCAGCGACGCCGCGUGAGCGAUGAAGGCCUCGGUUGUAAGACUCUGUGAUAU